UACGAAGGGGGCUAGCGUUGUUCGGAAUUACUGGGCGUAAAGCGUGCGCAGGCGGCUAUCCAAGUCAGUGGUGAAAGCCCGGAGCUCAACUCCGGAACUGCCAUUGAAACUGUUUAGCUUGAGGAUGGGAGAGGUGAGUGGAAUUCCCAGUGUAGAGGUGAAAUUCGUAGAUAUUGGGAAGAACACCGGUGGCGAAGGCGGCUCACUGGCUCAUUACUGACGCUCAGGCGCGAUAGCGUGGGGAUCAAACAGG
Molecule: ribosomal RNA, 253 nt
Filed under: uncultured bacterium
Lineage: Bacteria
Description: partial 16S ribosomal RNA
Rfam family: Bacterial small subunit ribosomal RNA
Source: RNAcentral